CCUACGGGGGGCAGCAGUGGGGAAUCUUGCGCAAUGGCCGAAAGGCUGACGCAGCGACGCCGCGUGUGGGAGGACGCCCUUCGGGGUGUAAACCACUGUCGCCCGGGACGAACAUCUUUAGUCGUAAAGACUGACGGUACCGGGCGAGGAAGCGCCGGCUAACUCCGUGCCAGCAGCCGCGGUAAUACGGAGGGCGCGAGCGUUGUCCGGAAUCACUGGGCGUAAAGGGCGCGUAGGCGGCCAGGCAAGGUCGCGGUGAAAGCCCGGGGCUCAACCCCGGGUCGGCCGUGGCGACUACCUGGCUUGGGCGCGGUAGGGGCAGACGGAAUUCCGGGUGUAGCGGUGGAAUGCGUAGAGAUCCGGAAGAACACCGGUGGCGAAGGCGGUCUGCUGGGCCGUAGCUGACGCUGAGGCGCGACAGCGUGGGGAGCAAACAGGAU
This 440-nucleotide ribosomal RNA is filed under the name uncultured bacterium. RNAcentral describes it as "bacterial SSU rRNA". It matches the Rfam family "Bacterial small subunit ribosomal RNA", at positions 338 to 778 of the family's 1533-position model. The record is from RNAcentral.